CCACCAAGCAUGGAGCCUGAUGUGGGGCUGGAUCCCAGGACCCCGGGAUCAUGACCUGAGCCGAAGGCAGACGCUUAACCGACUGAGCCCCCUGGGCACCCCUAAACCUCUGUUUUAAGCGUUACCCCAGGAGGAGAGAUUGAAGUGACGCCGUCUGCAUGAAAGAACCAAUCACUGAGCAAGAGAGCAUUCAUCCUAAUUUCUACCUUCCCUCCGCUCAAGGUUAAAGUAAGGAUUAUUUUACCUCGGCUCUCUUAUACUCAACGUGCCCAGUUUGAGGCUUUGCCGGUAAAGGCUGUGACAGAAGGAGCAAGGAAGGUGCAGAGCUGCGCCCGAGCCUAGACGGGAGCUGUUCCUAUGCGAGAGCACACCCUGGAUGUUGGGAGGCUUCUGCGUCCCACAAAAACGUCUACACAUGAGCACACCCUUUCUCAGAGAAGAAGAACCCAUAGCUCCAUAAAACAAAAUAAGUAAACAAAAACAAAAACAAAGACAAAUACAAAACCCAAGUUGGCUGUUAAUGCAAUAAAUGAAGUUGAAACAUGAGAUUCCUAAUGAAAUCACCUCUUCUUGAUGGGGGCAGGGAGCGGAUAUUAACAAGACCUCUGGAAGUUCCUAAUAUAUGUAUGUAUUUAUAGAUACUGAGACAAAUGGGCUGACCUGAGAAAAUGGCUUUUCUUUUUUGCCACGGUAAUAUAAAAAAAAAAAUUAGAACUUUUUUCAGUGUAACCAAUAAAUGAUUUUAAAUGCUGUAGAUAAACUAUAAACUUGUAACUCUU
Molecule: long non-coding RNA, 779 nt
Organism: Mustela erminea (ermine)
Lineage: Eukaryota; Metazoa; Chordata; Mammalia; Carnivora; Mustelidae
Exons: 2
Source: RefSeq, a predicted model, not a curated record